GAACGUUGGAAACAGCGGUUAGGAGCUUACACCCACCCGUGUUUACAUACUAUUGUUGCUUUGGCGGGCCGUGGCCUCCACUGCGGGCUCUGCUCGUGUGUGCCCGCCAGAGAACCAAACUCUGAAUGUUAGUGAUGUCUGAGUACUAUCUAAUAGUUAAAACUUUCAACAACGGAUCUCUUGGUUCUGGCAUCGAUGAAGAACGCAGCGAAAUGCGAUAAGUAAUGUGAAUUGCAGAAUUCAGUGAAUCAUCGAAUCUUUGAACGCACAUUGCGCCCUGUGGUAUUCCGCAGGGCAUGCCUGUUCGAGCGUCAUUUAACCACUCACGCCUAGCGUGGUAUUGGGGCACGCGGUCUCGCGGCCCUCAAAAUUAGUGGCGGCGCCGGUGGGCUCUAAGCGUAGUACAUACUCCCGCUAUAGAGUUCCCCCGGUGGCUCGCCAGAACCCCCAAUUUUUUACAGGUUGACCUCGGAUCAGGUAGGGAUACCCGCUGAACUUAAGCAUAUC
This 507-nucleotide ribosomal RNA is filed under the name Phialocephala fortinii. RNAcentral describes it as "eukaryotic LSU rRNA". The stretch from base 161 to 314 matches the Rfam family "5.8S ribosomal RNA". The record is from RNAcentral. Lineage: Eukaryota; Fungi; Ascomycota; Leotiomycetes; Helotiales; Mollisiaceae.